GUAAGGAAUAUUGGACAAUGGACGCAAGUCUGAUCCAGCCAUGCCGCGUGAAGGAUUAAGGUCCUCUGGAUUGUAAACUUCUUUUAUAAGGGACGAAAAAAGGCUUUUCUAAGUCGUCUGACGGUACCUUAUGAAUAAGCACCGGCUAACUCCGUGCCAGCAGCCGCGGUAAUACGGAGGGUGCAAGCGUUAUCUGGAUUCACUGGGUUUAAAGGGUGCGUAGGCGGGCAGGUAAGUCAGUGGUGAAAUCCUAGAGCUUAACUCUAGAACUGCCAGUGAUACUAUCUGUCUUGAAUAUUGUGGAGGUAAGCGGAAUAUGUCAUGUAGCGGUGAAAUGCUUAGAUAUGACAUAGAACACCUAUUGCGAAGGCAGCUUACUACGCAUAUAUUGACGCUGAGGCACGAAAGCGUGGGGAUCAAACAGGAUUAGAUACCCUAGUAGUCC
Molecule: ribosomal RNA, 445 nt
Filed under: uncultured bacterium
Lineage: Bacteria
Description: partial 16S ribosomal RNA
Rfam family: Bacterial small subunit ribosomal RNA
Source: RNAcentral